Molecule: long non-coding RNA, 2036 nt
Filed under: Xyrichtys novacula (pearly razorfish)
Lineage: Eukaryota; Metazoa; Chordata; Actinopteri; Labriformes; Labridae
Source: RNAcentral
UGUCGCUUAGAGGAUGAGAUACGGGCCGAGUCUAAUUGUCUGACGCGCUUUGUCAAUGGAUCAGCUGAGACGGGAAUCGAUUAGGAAAAAACGUGCUUUAAUACUAAAGAAACAAUCAACAAAACGAUACCAACUGAAGAAACAGCGAUCACUGGACUUAAAGAGUAUGUGUACAUGCGGUCAACAAAAAAUACGGCGACCCACUCAAAACCUCUUCCCUCGUGAACACAGGUGACCAGGUGCUUAAAUCAACUGAGUGACACCGCCCCUAUUCCCGUGACCCGGAUUCCACAAAUCACUGCCACCAAUCACAACAAAAUACCAAAACAAACCAAGAGCAUAACCACAAACCUUUACCUUGCGGCUCCUACAACUGGUAUUAAAAUGUUACAUUUUCAUAAACUCACUUUGUAAAUACUGUACCUUCUUUUUCAGUUUUAAAUUUAACCAAUAGUGAAAGAGGGGUGCAGGCUGUGAAAGAUUAACUUAUGCAGAGUUCUCAAACUUUUUUUGUGCAGCUGGUCGCAUAGAGUCCGAGUAAAGCACGUGAUCCAAAAUGAUGAAAAGAGCAUGUGGCUGGUGGGCGAAGACAAUGGAAAAGUUGAGAUUGGCUUCAUUGUGAGUUCUAAUCUAAAUUUAAACCUAAAGUUUUUUUUUCCUCCCUUUUUUUUUCAUUCAUUGAUUUUGACUUGUGCCUCUGUUCGGUCUUUCCUCAGUUUACAAUGGGCCCUGAACAAAGUUUGGAUACAAAUUUUGGUCAUAUGGAUAUGAAAACUGGAGACGAGGAGAAGGAGGAGAAGAGACAGAUCACAGCUGUAACUAUUAACAAAGGUAGGAACAUCUAGUAGUCAUACUGUCUAUCAUCUACUUUUAACUCUAGUUAUAACACUAACAACUGGACCUGCUGUGUUUUUCAUUUGCUUAUAGAUUUGAUUGUGUGCGGGGACGAGAAGGGCAACAUGUGGUUCAUGACCUCUCAAGAACCUUCCAAGUGGCAGAGCAGAAAACUUGUAAGAGCUCAGAAAAACAUGACUAAAAACUCCAAUCACAGCUCACACUUGUUUUAGGAACAAGUUUUUUAUUUCAUUUGCAGUUUAUUUUAAUUACAUAUAAUAAUCGCAACACACAGAAACUUUGAUUUUGAUGACAAUGCAGUUGAAUCCAGACCUUUUAUUUUCACCAAGUGUACUAUUUCUGCACAACUUUUAACUAAAGGUGUAAAAUGUAAUGGAGCUUUAAGAGCUGAAAUGAGCACCUGUCGGACAACAUCUGUAUUUAACUGAUUUUAAUAUUUAAUAUUUUUAAUCCUCAGGCCCACAGUGACAGGAUCAGUGUGCUCAGACUCACAGACAGCACCAUCAUCUCCGCCUCCUAUGACAGGACGGUGAAGCUGUGGGACAGAAACACCAAGAAACAGGUACGUUAGAGUCUUAAACUUAUGUUAGUUGUCUUUAUUUUCACAAAACAAGAUUUCUGUAAGGAUUUAGCAAACCAGAUUAAAAAAAGGGUGAAUUGUAUCUGUGAAAAACAUAGCUGGUUGUUAGUUGAGCCAACCCACUGCUGACUUUAGCUCCUUGUUUAACUUACCCUCGACUUCUCUUCUCCUCCUCCAGGUGGGGAUGUUUGUGUGUAGAGCUGCUGUUCUGCUUUUGGAGGUAAACCCUGUAAAACCCACUGUGCUGGUCUGCGGUGACAGAUGGGGGAAACUCUACUUUCUCUCCUGGAAGGAAUAAUCCAGAACAUAUUAUGCACUAUCAAAGAAAGCCUGAAAUGUUUUGCUUUUUUUGCUAGGGAUACAAGCUAUGUAAUAGCUGUUAAUUCAAGUUAACAUGUGCCUUUACUGCAGAUAUUAAGUAACUUGCAGAUGUAAUAUGCAAGUAUAAAAUACCUUGAAAAGCAUCUAUUUUGAUUUCAUGGGCUUUAUUAUUUUAUGUUAUUUUAUGUUUUAUUGUAACCGGAAGAAAAAUAUGGAUGUGGGAUAUUGAAACACUUAAAGUGGAAACAUAUCUUGCACAUUAAAAUUAUGUUUAUCAUCA